This 446-nucleotide long non-coding RNA is filed under the name Phaseolus vulgaris (common bean). Its description in RNAcentral is "long non-coding RNA (PVUL_LNC004589)". The record is from RNAcentral. Lineage: Eukaryota; Viridiplantae; Streptophyta; Magnoliopsida; Fabales; Fabaceae.
UUAUUCGCCGCCGUGAUCUGCGGAUACUUCACAAGACCCCCAAACGUCGUCGUCGCUAUGUUGUACAGCGUGUCGUCCUUUUUUAUCUUAUAAAGCGGAACCCGGUCCGAGAGUCCCGUCCCGUUGAGGCACCUGCACGGCAACGGCACCUUCACAACCUCGCUGGGCCCCACCUCGUGGCGCUUUGUGGUGUUGCUUGGGAGGUUGUUCGCGCCUAGGAUGUCCACAAGUUUCUUCACGUUGAAGAGGGUUUGGAUGUCGCCCAGGGUGGUGCCGUUCACGUGAGAGUACCCAAUCAGGGCGCCACAGGCGGAGUUAUUCGCGCUGUUGCACACGAAUUUGGCCUCCGGUUGGGCCUCUACAGUCGCCACCACCGCGAUUGCUACCACCGCUAUAACUUUGACCAUCCAAACAGCCCCUUUCCCCGCGCCCAUUUUGUUCUAGUG